Molecule: long non-coding RNA, 377 nt
Filed under: Vigna radiata
Lineage: Eukaryota; Viridiplantae; Streptophyta; Magnoliopsida; Fabales; Fabaceae
Description: long non-coding RNA (VRAD_LNC000535)
Source: RNAcentral
CAGGAUUUAAAACCGGUGAUAAGCUCCAACAUGCUGGAAAAUUGGAUCCAUCCUCCACAUCCAUUGCAGUAAAGCCGAGAGAAAGAAUUGGUGCAGUUGAGUUUUUUUAAGUAGCAGCAAGGCACCAAAGCCGAGAACGGAAAGUUGAACCCAAAAGCAAGGAGACUUCAAAAUGUUCAAAAGCUGUCCAGCUCAAGGAAAUUUAGACAAAACCGUGGAAGCAACACUUCAGUUUGUUUUGAUUAUUUUGUUUUAAAUUGUAAUAGGUUUGCUUUGCUAGUUUCUUCUUUGUAAAAGGCCAUUCAAAGUCCAAGUUGUCUUGGAAGAGUCCUUGGUGCUCUUUCAACUCUUGGCAAAACUUUUCUUGUGUGUUUNNN